Molecule: long non-coding RNA, 265 nt
Organism: Myotis brandtii (Brandt's bat)
Lineage: Eukaryota; Metazoa; Chordata; Mammalia; Chiroptera; Vespertilionidae
Exons: 3
Source: RefSeq, a predicted model, not a curated record
CCCACAUGUAACCGAACUGUCGUGUUUCAUGGCUUUUUGCCACUCCAGCUGUCAAUCAAAGCCCGGAAUGUCAAGGGCAAGAAGAAACCAGCUUAACUCAGAGAGCACUCCCUCCAAGCAUUGCGGAUAAGGGCCACCCUGGAGAACCUUUCGGGGCCGCUGCGGACUUGGGUGGGAGGAAAUGGGGAGGGAGUCGUUUGGGUAUUUCAUGUCUGAUUUCGCCACGGAGUGUGUGUGUGUGUGUGGGUGUGUGUGUGUGUGUGUG